UUCUAGUGAUUCAACUGUGUGGAGUCGCUCUGCUCCUAAUUUACCGACUGAUGUUUGCUUUGUAACUGAUGCUUGUCCAGUGUCUUUGGUGUCAAAUUGUAAAGAUGCAGUUGCUGUCACAUGUGGUGAAGAGUCUACCUUGAAAAGACGAACUGUCACUGCUUCAACUUGCAGUCAAUACUAUUCUCAAGCUGCUGCUGGAACUAUUAUUCUAUCUCGUAAUAAUGUGUCUUCAACCUCUUAUUACUAUGGAACAAUUAGAGUCUACUAUAAUGGAUGGGGUA
Amphimedon queenslandica is the source of this 284-nucleotide long non-coding RNA. RefSeq lists it as uncharacterized. The transcript has 3 exons. The record is from RefSeq and is a predicted model, not a curated record. NCBI's taxonomy places the organism in Eukaryota, Metazoa, Porifera, Demospongiae, Haplosclerida, Niphatidae.